RNAcentral lists this ribosomal RNA (1695 nucleotides) under Triticum aestivum (bread wheat). Its description in RNAcentral is "partial small subunit ribosomal RNA". Lineage: Eukaryota; Viridiplantae; Streptophyta; Magnoliopsida; Poales; Poaceae. The record is from RNAcentral.
AUGAUCGGCGGCGGCGGCGGACGCAGCCGGCGGCGCGGGCGCGCGUCGGUGACCCUGCCCUCGGGCCCCGCCGCGAGCCGCACUGAGAGCUCCGUCUCCUGCUGGUAUUGUGAGUACAAAAUUUAUGUCUUCAACGACAUGAUAUUCAAUUUGGGGUGGAAACAUGCUAGAUACACCAGAGCAUGGUUUUCCUUAGGAGUUUAUUUCUCUCUCGUUGCUUUAGUUGGUAUAUCUUUGUUGCUAUUGUGGGAUCCAAUUGGUGCAUUAUAUUUUAGACGCGGAUCCAUUAGCGCCUGGUUACCAAAUAUACUGGCUCCCAGCUUCAGCGGAUCAAUAAUGGACACCUCAAUCAUCAUAGCAUCAACAAUCUUAUCUAUUGCUUUUCAUGAAUUCGGACAUGCUAUUGCAGCUGCAAGCGAGGGUGUACAGAUGGAAUAUGUUGCAAUAUUCAUGGCUGUACUUUUUCCUGGGGCAUUAGUUGCUCUGAACUAUGACCUGCUUGAGAAUCUACCCCUCUUUUCAAUGCUUCGGAUAUAUUGCGCGGGAAUUUGGCAUAAUGUUAUAUUUUGUGCAGCAUGUGUGCUGAUGGCAUUAUUACUUCCUUUGGUCCUCUGUCCUCUCUACGUGAGUGGUGAUGGACUUAUUGUCAUGGGAGUCCCACAAUCAUCUUCUCUGUCAAGGUCAUUGUCUGUUCAUGAUGUUAUCUUGUCUGUGGAUGGUCUGAACAUAAGAAGAACUGACGAUUGGAUGAAAAUGCUGGCUCAAGGCACUGUAGAGAAAACCAGUAGUCAUGAGUUUCUUGGUGGUUCUCAGAGCUAUGGUGCUACUAAUUCUGGCAAAGGUUAUUGUGUCCCCAACUCAUGGAUGGAUGCAAGCAAGAAUCUCUGGCAGAUAAAUGACAAGCUAUCUUGCCCAGAUGAACUGAUAGUGUUUGGGAAAUUUUCCUGUAAUGGCUCCGCGUAUUUUCCUGGGACUGACAAAGUAAGUGACAAGAAACAAACUGAGGACUUGUAUUGUUUGAUUGCAAAAGACGUAGUUAAACUUAAAAAAUGUGGAAAUGGAUGGCGUGGUACAGAAGAUGAUGACAGUAACUGUACCUGUUUGGAGGAGGAGUACUGCUUGGUACCUGUUCUUACCCCUGGGUUUUCAUGGAUAGAGAUCUCCUACGCCAGGCCAUAUUCUUUGGAGUGUUUACAGAAAGAAGGAAAUUUUUCGUCAUCACAUGCUACAAAUGAUAACUUCGGUCCGAGUCCUUGUGGGGGAACCUUUGUUUAUGUUGGUGAUCUGUCAUCGACAGCAAGUUCUGUUAAGUUAUCCCCCUACAGGCCCCGAUGGGCAUUCUUCCUUCUUAUUGCAGAUGUUCCCUAUAUCUUGGAAAAUUGUUUAAGUUGUUUGCUUCAUGUGUCUGCGGCAUUGGCUGCCGUUAACUGCCUACCGGUAUACUUUCUAGAUGGGGAUGCGAUUUUGGAGACUGCCUUACGCUACGUUGCUUGGUUUAACCGGAGACAGCAGCGGGUGAUUAUUAAGGGGUCUACGCAAAGCAAGCACCUCCAAAGCAUCAGCGGUAGGUUCAUGGAGGAAAACAAAACUAAUGGGGAGCCCAUACUCAACAACACCGACCUCUUUGGCUGCAGAAUCUUCAAGAUCACAGGAAGGAACCCACUCCAGUACAAGUUUCCUUUCCAUAGCAACUGA